UGCCAUAAAAAAUAUGCGAAAAUUAAUAAUUUUUCCAGCUGUACUUUAGGUAUAUAAAGAGGUUAUUUUCCAUUAAAACCUUACAUCUUCUCUUGGGGAAAAUCGAAAUUGUUGGAAAGUCACCAGGAUGAAAGCCUGCUUAUUUACGAUAUGUCUCCUACUUUCUGUGGGCUCAAUGAACGCCAAAAUUAUUUGCAAUGACCAUGGAGAUUGGUGUUACGAUGGCUACACUUGCUGUCCUAACCAGCAACAUAGGAUUAUGUGCUGCCCUCUUCAAAAUGCUGUGUGCUGUGCAGAUACAUGGUGCUGCCCAUCAGGCAUGAAGUGUAUCAUGGAGAAAAAGUGGUGUGUGUAUGAUUAUGAAGCUAUUUUCUCUCGUCAUCAUAUGACUCCAGCCAACCAUUAACAAACCGUUUCUUGUAACAAUGCUAUGUUUAUGAGUCCAGAAAUAAAUAUAUAGAAAUAUGA
Molecule: RNA transcript, 468 nt
Organism: Limulus polyphemus (Atlantic horseshoe crab)
Lineage: Eukaryota; Metazoa; Arthropoda; Merostomata; Xiphosura; Limulidae
Gene name: granulins-like
Exons: 3
Source: RefSeq, a predicted model, not a curated record